UGGGGAAUUUUGGACAAUGGACGCAAGUCUGAUCCAGCCAUGCCGCGUGCGGGAAGAAGGCCUUCGGGUUGUAAACCGCUUUUGUCAGGGAAGAAACGAGUUUCUCUAAUACAGAGACUUAAUGACGGUACCUGAAGAAUAAGCACCGGCUAACUACGUGCCAGCAGCCGCGGUAAUACGUAGGGUGCAAGCGUUAAUCGGAAUUACUGGGCGUAAAGCGUGCGCAGGCGGUUAUGCAAGACAGAUGUGAAAUCCCCGGGCUCAACCUGGGAAUUGCAUUUGUGACUGCGUCGCUGGAGUGCGGCAGAGGGGGAUGGGAUUCCGCGUGUAGCAGUGAAAUGCGUAGAUAUGCGGCGGAACACCGAUGGCGAAGGCAAUCCCCUGGGCCUGCACUGACGCUCAUGCACGAAAGCGUGGGGAGCAAACA
This 427-nucleotide ribosomal RNA is filed under the name uncultured bacterium. RNAcentral's name for it is "bacterial SSU rRNA". It matches the Rfam family "Bacterial small subunit ribosomal RNA", at positions 355 to 774 of the family's 1533-position model. The record is from RNAcentral.